UCUCUCUACUGUUGGGAGCCACUGAUCUUCUCUCCUAGAAUCACACAUGCUCAAGAGGCCAACUGAGAACCAGCGAAACUGUUCCUGCUGUUGAAACAAGUCAGACACCGGCUUGGGACCCACUUCCCAAAGGCACAAAGUCAGAGUGUCAAUCCAUCGUGCUGCCCUUUCCCGCAGUCUAAAUAAAAAAUAAUUUCCUCCGCUUGGAAUUAAGCACUGUUUUGAGUGGAAGCACAAUAUGUUUUGUUUCAGCGGCAUUAGCAUUUAAGGU
This 271-nucleotide long non-coding RNA is filed under the name Ornithorhynchus anatinus (platypus). RNAcentral describes it as "lncRNA (ENSOANG00000038132.1)". Lineage: Eukaryota; Metazoa; Chordata; Mammalia; Monotremata; Ornithorhynchidae. The record is from RNAcentral.